CCUACGGGAGGCAGCAGUGAGGAAUAUUGGUCAAUGGACGAGACUCUGAACCAGCGACGCCGCGUGAAGGAAGAAUGCUCUUUGGGUUGUAAACUCCUUUUAUAAGGGAAUAAAACAAGGCACGUGUGCCAUUAUGCAUGUACUUUAUGAAUACGGAUCGGCUAACGCCGGGAAAGCAGCCGCCGUAAUCCGGAUGCGCCGUGCGUUAUCCGGAUUUAUUGGGUGUAAAGGGCGCGUAGAUGGGUUGGUAAGUCGGGUGUGAAAGUUUGGGGCUCAACCGUAAAACUGCAAGUGAUACUGGGAGUCUUGAGUACAGGUGGGGUAAGCGGAAUUCGUGGUGUAGCGGUGAAAUGCGUAGAUAUCACGAGGAACCCCAGUUGCGAAGGCAGCUUACUAGACUGUAACUGACGUUGAGGCUCGAAAGUGUGGGGAGCAAACAGGAUUAGAUACCCUAGUAGUC
RNAcentral lists this ribosomal RNA (460 nucleotides) under uncultured bacterium. RNAcentral's name for it is "partial 16S ribosomal RNA". It matches the Rfam family "Bacterial small subunit ribosomal RNA", at positions 338 to 795 of the family's 1533-position model. The record is from RNAcentral.